Molecule: ribosomal RNA, 951 nt
Filed under: Campylobacter jejuni
Lineage: Bacteria; Pseudomonadati; Campylobacterota; Epsilonproteobacteria; Campylobacterales; Campylobacteraceae
Description: bacterial SSU rRNA
Rfam family: Bacterial small subunit ribosomal RNA
Source: RNAcentral
AUCAAGUCUCUUGUGAAAUCUAAUGGCUUAACCAUUAAACUGCUUGGGAAACUGAUAGUCUAGAGUGAGGGAGAGGUAGAUGGAAUUGGUGGUGUAGGGGUAAAAUCCGUAGAUAUCACCAAGAAUACCCAUUGCGAAGGCGAUCUGCUGGAACUCAACUGACGCUAAGGCGCGAAAGCGUGGGGAGCAAACAGGAUUAGAUACCCUGGUAGUCCACGCCCUAAACGAUGUACACUAGUUGUUGGGAUGCUAGUCAUCUCAGUAAUGCAGCUAACGCAUUAAGUGUACCGCCUGGGGAGUACGGUCGCAAGAUUAAAACUCAAAGGAAUAGACGGGGACCCGCACAAGCGGUGGAGCAUGUGGUUUAAUUCGAAGAUACGCGAAGAACCUUACCUGGGCUUGAUAUCCUAAGAACCUUAUAGAGAUAUGAGGGUGCUAGCUUGCUAGAACUUAGAGACAGGUGCUGCACGGCUGUCGUCAGCUCGUGUCGUGAGAUGUUGGGUUAAGUCCCGCAACGAGCGCAACCCACGUAUUUAGUUGCUAACGGUUCGGCCGAGCACUCUAAAUAGACUGCCUUCGUAAGGAGGAGGAAGGUGUGGACGACGUCAAGUCAUCAUGGCCCUUAUGCCCAGGGCGACACACGUGCUACAAUGGCAUAUACAAUGAGACGCAAUACCGCGAGGUGGAGCAAAUCUAUAAAAUAUGUCCCAGUUCGGAUUGUUCUCUGCAACUCGAGAGCAUGAAGCCGGAAUCGCUAGUAAUCGUAGAUCAGCCAUGCUACGGUGAAUACGUUCCCGGGUCUUGUACUCACCGCCCGUCACACCAUGGGAGUUGAUUUCACUCGAAGCCGGAAUACUAAACUAGUUACCGUCCACAGUGGAAUCAGCGACUGGGGUGAAGUCGUAACAAGGUAACCGUAGGAGAACCUGCGGUUGGAUCACCUCCUUUCUA